Molecule: small RNA, 558 nt
Filed under: Pan troglodytes (chimpanzee)
Lineage: Eukaryota; Metazoa; Chordata; Mammalia; Primates; Hominidae
Description: processed transcript
Source: RNAcentral
ACACUGUCAGGGCUAGCCUGCCUGCUUACGCGCGCUGCGGAUUGUUGCUCCGUUGUACCUGCUGGGGAAUUCACCUCGUUACUGCUUGAUAUCUUCCACCCCUUACAAAAUCAGAAAAGUUCUGUUUUCUAAUACCAAAGAGGAGGUUUGGCUUUCUGUGGGUGAUUCCCAGACACUGAAGUGCAAAGAAGAGGCCCUCCUAGAAAAGUAAAAUAUGACUAAAAGCAAUGGAGAAGAGCCCAAGAUGGGGGGCAGGAUGGAGAGAUUCCAGCAGGGAGUCCGUAAACGCACACUUUUGGCCAAGAAGAAAGUGCAGAACAUUACAAAGGAGGAUGUUAAAAGUUACCUGUUUCGGAAUGCUUUUGUGCUGCUCACAGUCACCGCUGUCAUUGUGGAUGAAAAAACUGAAACCCAAAUCCUUAUCACACAGCUGAUGAAUACUGAGUGGGAUUCAAAUCCACCAUUCCGGCUCUAGGUGCUCAUUCACCACACUGUUCUGGGUGCUAUAACACCCAUUCUGGCUUUACUCCAGCAAUUUGCUGAGGGUCUGCCUGAGGU